UCCUACGGGAGGCAGCAGUGGGGAAUUUUCCGCAAUGGGCGAAAGCCUGACGGAGCAACGCCGCGUGAGGGAGGAAGGCCUUAGGGUUGUAAACCUCUUUUCUCUGGGAAGAAGUACUGACGGUACCAGAGGAAUAAGCCUCGGCUAACUCCGUGCCAGCAGCCGCGGUAAGACGGAGGAGGCAAGCGUUAUCCGGAAUUAUUGGGCGUAAAGCGUCUGUAGGUGGUUUACUCAGUCCGCUGUGAAAGAUCAGGGCUUCACCCUGAACACGCGGUGGAAACCGGUAGACUUGAGUACGGUAGGGGCAGAGGGAAUUCCCGGUGGAGCGGUGAAAUGCGUAGAGAUCGGGAAGAACACCAAUAGCGAAAGCACUCUGCUGGGCCGUAACUGACACUGAGAGACGAAAGCUAGGGUAGCGAAUGGGAUUAGAUACCCCAGUAGUCCUAGCUGUAAACGAUGGAUACUAGGUGUUGGGCGUAUCGACCCGUUCAGUACCGUAGCUAACGCGUUAAGUAUCCCGCCUGGGGAGUACGCACGCAAGUGUGAAACUCAAAGGAAUUGACGG
RNAcentral lists this ribosomal RNA (565 nucleotides) under uncultured cyanobacterium. RNAcentral's name for it is "bacterial SSU rRNA". It matches the Rfam family "Bacterial small subunit ribosomal RNA", at positions 337 to 916 of the family's 1533-position model. The record is from RNAcentral. Lineage: Bacteria; Bacillati; Cyanobacteriota.